Triticum dicoccoides is the source of this 511-nucleotide long non-coding RNA. RefSeq lists it as uncharacterized. NCBI's taxonomy places the organism in Eukaryota, Viridiplantae, Streptophyta, Magnoliopsida, Poales, Poaceae. The transcript has 3 exons. The record is from RefSeq and is a predicted model, not a curated record.
AAGAUCCUGGGAGGCACUCUCCCAUUCAGUUACCCUUACUAUCGGUUCCUAGGUGCAGCCCCGGCGGCCGUCGCCUGAACGGCGCGGACGCGUGCUUCUCCCCAGGGAGGGCCAUGCCGCUGCAGAUGAAACUGAAUCCCCUUCCGAGCCGGCGGACAUGACAUGGUUGGUUUCACGGGAUUGACUCGGCUACCUACAGAAGUGCCACAAAUCUGAACCAAGCUGUUGCGUCAAGGCUACAUCAUCAGGAUUCACACCUCGCCAGAUCCGAGACUGCUGUUUGGAAGGGAUCCAUUAGUUGUCGCCGCUGUUCAAGUUAGAUGUAACACAAUCUGUAAAGCUCCAUUAUUGCAAUUCAAAGACUCCAUCAUGGAGUAAUUUUUGCUGUAGCUUCUAGGUUAAUUUUUUAUGUGGUCGGCAUAACACCUAAUUCAUAAUGAAGUAAUUUUAAAUAAGUUAUAAGGUUUAAGAGAAAUCUUAUACCAAUAAAGAAAAUAAUCAGGUUGGUCAA